UGGGGGGGGGACACAGCAGCACAGCAGAACGAGCGCUGCGGUGGCUCAGCUUUUGAAGACCAGACGGGCGCUGGGGGGGGGGAGGGGGGCCUCACAGCCCAGGAAUCCCCCGGGGGCGGCGGGAGGGGUCCCUCCGGGCUCUCAGUGGGGCAGCUCGUGGGGGAUGAGUUUGUAGUGGGAGCCGCAGGACGGGCAGCGCUGCGCCUCCCCUUUGUGCAGCCAGAACCAAAUGACGCAGCUGUUGUCCUCUUCACAGACGCAGCCCACGAUGCGUUUAUCGGUGAUGGAAGGCACGAGGUUGGGGUCCUCCUUGGUGCCCGCGUAGCGCUUCGGCCGGAACAUACUGUAGGGGUCCAGGCCUUUAUUCAUGGCCUCCAUCACCUUCCGCUCCAGCCCCGUCGCCUGCUCCUCGUCCGUGGCGAGGUCGCCGGGCGCGGCGAAGUGCCGGACGGGCGCAGCCCGAGCGGUGGCGGCGGGCAGAAGCCGCAGCGCCGCGCCCACCCGCAGUAACCUUGAGGCCAUGGCUGCAGCGGCGGCAAUCAGCGCUUCCGGCGGCGGCGGAGGC
Molecule: long non-coding RNA, 565 nt
Filed under: Gallus gallus (chicken)
Lineage: Eukaryota; Metazoa; Chordata; Aves; Galliformes; Phasianidae
Source: RNAcentral